RNAcentral lists this ribosomal RNA (1267 nucleotides) under Procambarus fallax (deceitful crayfish). Its description in RNAcentral is "16S ribosomal RNA". The stretch from base 598 to 1267 matches the Rfam family "Archaeal large subunit ribosomal RNA", at positions 1423 to 2786 of the family's 2987-position model. The record is from RNAcentral. Lineage: Eukaryota; Metazoa; Arthropoda; Malacostraca; Decapoda; Cambaridae.
UUAUAAAUAAUUGUUAAUGUAGUUAAUAUGAAAAAGAUUUUUUUAAAUAUAGUAAAUUUAAUUGAAUAAUGAUAAAGACUUAGUGUAAAAUAUUGUAGAGGAAAUUUGAAAUAAUUAAAGAGUUAAUAAUAUAAAAGUAAUAUUAAAGUUAUGUAUCUUGUGUAUAAUAGAUAUUUAAAUUUAUAUAAUUCUAUUGUGUAUCUCGAAAAGGAAAUAGCUAAAUUAAAAGGUAAGUUUUUGUGGCAUAAAGAUUUAUAAUUUUAUUUUAGGAGUGAAAUAUUAAUCGGGUUCCUUAAUAUCUAGUUUUUUAAGAAGUGAAUUUAAAUUAGCAUUUUUAUAUACUUAUAAAAAUAGUUAGAAUAAAGGGGAUUAGCUCUUUAUUAUUUAGUAUUAUAAAAAAAAUAUUUUAAUAAUUUAACUAAGCUUAAAAUUAGCUAGGUUUAUAGAGUGUUAUAAGUAAAAUUUGAGUUAAUAAUAUUUAUAUAUUUUUUAAUUUUUUUAUUAAGAAUUAUUUGAAAAUAAUGUUGAAAUAGUUAUAGUGAGUGUAUUAGUAUAUAGAUAGUGUUAGAAAUUAAUUAUAAAUUAUUAAAUUAUUUAUAUGUAUUUUUAUGUUCUUUUAAGGAAUUCGGCAAAAAUUAUUUCUGCCUGUUUAGCAAAAACAUGUCUUUAUGAAGGUUUAUAAAGUCUAACCUGCCCAUUGGGAACUAAAAGGCCGCGGUAUUAUGACCGUGCAAAGGUAGCAUAAUCAUUAGUUUUUUAAUUGAAGGCUAGAAUGAAUGGUUGGACAAGAAAUAAUCUGUCUUAAGUGAAUAUAUUGAAUUUAACUUUUAAGUGAAAAGGCUUAAAUAUUCUGAAGGGACGAUAAGACCCUAUAAAACUUUAUAUUUAUAAAGUAGUAGUUAGUUUUAUUUAAAAGUAUUAUAUUAGAAUAUUUGGUUGGGGUGACAAGGAUAAAAUAUAGAAUAACUGUCUUUUUUUUUUACAGCAAUAUUUGGUUUAAUGAUCCUAAAAAGGAUUAAAAGAUUAAGUUACUUUAGGGAUAACAGCGUGAUUUUCUUUAAGAGUUCUUAUCGACAAGAAAGUUUGCGACCUCGAUGUUGAAUUAAAAGUUCUUUAUAGAGUAGAGACUAUAAUAGAAGGUCUGUUCGACCUUUAAAAUUUUACAUGAUUUGAGUUCAGACCGGUGUAAGCCAGGUUGGUUUCUAUCUUUCAGUAAUUAAUUGGGUUAUUUUAGUACGAAAGGAUUAAAUAAUUAAAAAAUUUUUGA